AAAAAUUAUCUACCAUAAAGGUGGUGUGAUAUACCUUUUCCGUGGUCGAAACUACAACUACAUGACUCGGCCACGCUUUCCUCUCAUGUUAUGGCGGCCUGUAACUCCUGUCUACCCAAGGUUGGUUCGACGAGUUCCAGAGGGUCUGACUUUAGAGGAAGCAACUGAAAUGCGCAAAAAAGGACGCAAUCUGAUACCUAUCUGCAAGCUUGCAAAAAAUGGGGUGUAUUGUGACCUUGUAAAGAAUGUCAGAGAAGCAUUUGAAGCUUGUGAAUUGGUCUGUAUAAAUUGUCAAGGAUUGAACCCAAGCGACUAUAGGAAGAUAGGUGCCAAGCUUAAGG
RNAcentral lists this unclassified non-coding RNA (341 nucleotides) under Hevea brasiliensis (rubber tree). Lineage: Eukaryota; Viridiplantae; Streptophyta; Magnoliopsida; Malpighiales; Euphorbiaceae. The record is from RNAcentral.